Folsomia candida is the source of this 1861-nucleotide long non-coding RNA. RefSeq lists it as uncharacterized. The record is from RefSeq and is a predicted model, not a curated record. The transcript is spliced from 5 exons. Lineage: Eukaryota; Metazoa; Arthropoda; Collembola; Entomobryomorpha; Isotomidae.
CUGGGAGCAGCAAAGAACCGUUAGAUCUCACUUCGUCCUUCCAGUCGGUUCCCUCAAGGGCUCAGCCUUUCCUCAUUUACGGAAUACGGGCUCACUCAGUCUCCCAUCCGUUAGCUCUAGAUUGUGGCCAAGCUUGGCACAGGGGAAAAAAGAAAGCCACCACAGACUGGUGAAAGCACAGAGAACGCACCCUUGAGGAAGGAGAAAGGACCACGACGACGCAAUCCAAUCUUUGACCAAUUAGUAAUUACACUGAUUGCAGCGAAAAAGUUUGCAGAAUAAAAUUAAGAAGAAAGCGAAGGAUGGGGAACAAGUGGCUGAGGAGGCGAGAUGCCCAACCAACCAAGAAAGAAAUCAGUAUGACGAAGAUGCUACCGCUAUUAAUACCACUGGAAAGGGUUGAACUGGUUCCGAAUCAGGAUCUUUCUUCACCAACCAGCCAAGAAAGAACUACUUAUUUGUACUAAACGGAUGAUAUGAAGACCAAAUUUAUUGGAUUGUACACCACACAGAGCGAAUGGAUUAUAAAUCUCUGUUGCCUAGCACUUCUGGUGGACAUAUUUGAAAAGAAUCUUCACCCCUAACUCAUCCUCAGUGCCGGAUUAUAGAAACACGCUCUGUUUUUACAUAAUAUGUAUCAGCGUCGGGACCUGGCUAAAUCCAAUGCAUUAUUUAUUGAGUGUGAAAUAGAAAAUGGAGCUCAAAUAAGUGGAAAUAUUACUGAGAACUUUAAACAACUGGAUUAUCUAUUUACUUUUCUAUACUUGCAACAAUGCGUCUGUCGAAAGUUGGAUAAAGGAAGUGAAGAAAUAUUUUCAACCUGGAUAUAUAUUUCCUAAACUCGGAGAAAUGAAUUUAUGUACGAACUUCUGCGACACUUGCAUUAAAAAAAUAUUUUACAAAAUGCUUCUGCUCAACUAUUAUUACCGUUAAAAAUUUUAAUUUUCCUUAAAAUUAAACUAAUAACUCCGAAACUGUAAACUUUCUUUUCUUGAAUUUGAACAACGACUUCCACGUUUCGACACUCUUCCGCCUUGUAACACCACGGAGAGUGUGGUAGCACUUGAGAAAACGAAGCUGCAUUUUGAAUAUUGGGCCGAACAGGAUUUGCAUGGGAGGAAGGGUUGAGGGGAACUGAACGGUGGAGACCAGAGUCGGCCUGCUUAAUGUCGACGAGCAUAACCAAAUUUGCUUUCCAACUCCUCCAACCCCACCAGAGUUGGCCAUUCCGCUUUCAGGCCGAGUCUGCGGACUCUAGAUUUAUCCCACACCAAACUUCCACCACCACCCAGCCCCCCAACCAACCAAUCCGACCAACAAGUCCAACAACGCCCACCAAGUGCACAGAAAACAGAAAAUCCUGAGGCUUUUACUCCUCCAGAAAGAACAAACUUUAUUCCUACAACUUUAAAUUUAAAAUUAGACUAUCAUUUGAAGUGCAUACACACCUGAUUUUAAAUUAAAUUUGUAUGUGGAUAAAAAAAUCAAUAGUUCAAAAUUGAAUGUCGUGGAUGAAUUUGUGUGUGAAAGUGAAAGUCUACUUUUUAAAAUAGAGCUGGAUACUUGACAAAACCCGACAAAAAUCACCAAAUCGGGAUUCAACUCAAACUAUUAUAUUUGAUGUUAGUAAUUGAACUUGUAAUUCAGCAGCUUUGCCGUAGCGCAGUAAGCGAGAGAGAAAGGCAACUCGACAAGCAGAAAUAAGUUGUGAAAUAAUUUAAAAUGUUAACCGUAAUGCUUCCAAAAUGCAACUGAGCCCGAUUACGGCGAUGGGAGCAGAGUGUGGAGCGGCUCAUUCAGGUCUACAUAAGCAUGUCUGCUAUUAAUGAAUAAAAACUUAUCGGUUGGCGUAUAAAAAACA